RNAcentral lists this ribosomal RNA (497 nucleotides) under uncultured bacterium. Its description in RNAcentral is "partial 16S ribosomal RNA". It matches the Rfam family "Bacterial small subunit ribosomal RNA", at positions 28 to 507 of the family's 1533-position model. The record is from RNAcentral.
GACGAACGCUGGCGGCGUGCCUAAUACAUGCAAGUUGAGCGAUGAAGAUUGGUGCUUGCACCAAUUUGAAGAGCAGCGAACGGGUGAGUAACGCGUGGGGAAUCUGCCUUUGAGCGGGGGACAACAUUUGGAAACGAAUGCUAAUACCGCAUAACAACUUUAAACAUAAGUUUUAAGUUUGAAAGAUGCAAUUGCAUCACUCAAAGAUGAUCCCGCGUUGUAUUAGCUAGUUGGUGAGGUAAAGGCUCACCAAGGCGAUGAUACAUAGCCGACCUGAGAGGGGGAUCGGCAACAGUGGGACUGAGACACGGCCCAAACUCCUACGGGAGGCAGCAGUAGGGAAUCUUCGGCAAUGGACGAAAGUCUGACCGAGCAACGCCGCGUGAGUGAAGAAGGUUGUCGGAUCGUAAAACUCUGUUGGUAGAGAAGAACGUUGGUGAGAGUGGAAAGCUCAUCAAGUGACGGUAACUACCCAGAAAGGGACGGCUAACUACGUG